Molecule: regulatory RNA element, 45 nt
Organism: Trichomalopsis sarcophagae
Lineage: Eukaryota; Metazoa; Arthropoda; Insecta; Hymenoptera; Pteromalidae
Rfam family: Histone 3' UTR stem-loop
About the family: The mRNAs of metazoan histone genes lack a poly-A tail.
Source: Rfam
CAAUCGGCCCUUUUCAGGGCCACCAAAAUUUUCAAACGUACGCAA